RNAcentral lists this ribosomal RNA (310 nucleotides) under uncultured bacterium. Its description in RNAcentral is "bacterial SSU rRNA". It matches the Rfam family "Bacterial small subunit ribosomal RNA", at positions 30 to 339 of the family's 1533-position model. The record is from RNAcentral.
AUUGAACGCUGGCGGCGUGCUUAACACAUGCAAGUCGAUCGGUAACAGGUGUAGCAAUACAUGCUGACGAGAGGCGGACGGGUGAGUAAUGCUUGGGAAUCUGCCUAUUAGUGGGGGACAACCCGGGGAAACUCGGGCUAAUACCGCAUACGCUCUACGGAGGAAAGCCGGGGACCGCAAGGCCUGGCGCUAAUAGAUGAGCCCAAGUCGGAUUAGCUAGUUGGUAGGGAACGGCCUACCAAGGCGACAAUCCGUAGCUGGUCUGAGAGGACGACCAGCCACACCGGAACCGAGACACGGUCCGGACUCC